AAUGGUAGUGACAUUAUGGUAG
RNAcentral lists this microRNA (22 nucleotides) under Oryza sativa (Asian cultivated rice). RNAcentral's name for it is "osa-miR5536". RNAcentral also lists the same sequence under 1 other name. The record is from miRBase by way of RNAcentral. Lineage: Eukaryota; Viridiplantae; Streptophyta; Magnoliopsida; Poales; Poaceae.